RNAcentral lists this ribosomal RNA (301 nucleotides) under uncultured bacterium. Its description in RNAcentral is "partial 16S ribosomal RNA". It matches the Rfam family "Bacterial small subunit ribosomal RNA", at positions 509 to 807 of the family's 1533-position model. The record is from RNAcentral.
CAGUCGUCACGGUAAUACGGAGGGUGCAAGCGUUAAUCGGAAUUACUGGGCGUAAAGCGUGCGUAGGCGGUUCGUUAAGUCUGUUGUGAAAGCCCCGGGCUCAACCUGGGAAUGGCAAUGGAUACUGGCGAGCUAGAGUGUGUCAGAGGAUGGUGGAAUUCCCGGUGUAGCGGAGAAAUGCGUAGAGAUCGGGAGGAACAUCAGUGGCGAAGGCGGCCGUCUGGGACAACACUGACGCUGAGGCACGAAAGCGUGGGGAGCAAACAGGAUUAGAUACCCCCGUAGUCCCUGUCUCUUAUAC